UACAGAGGGUGCAAGCGUUAAUCGGAUUUACUGGGCGUAAAGCGCGCGUAGGUGGCCAAUUAAGUCAAAUGUGAAAUCCCCGAGCUUAACUUGGGAAUUGCAUUCGAUACUGGUUGGCUAGAGUAUGGGAGAGGAUGGUAGAAUUCCAGGUGUCGCGGUGAAAUGCGUAGAGAUCUGGAGGAAUACCGAUGGCGAAGGCAGCCAUCUGGCCUAAUACUGACACUGAGGUGCGAAAGCAUGGGGAGCAAACAGG
This 253-nucleotide ribosomal RNA is filed under the name uncultured bacterium. Its description in RNAcentral is "partial 16S ribosomal RNA". It matches the Rfam family "Bacterial small subunit ribosomal RNA", at positions 524 to 776 of the family's 1533-position model. The record is from RNAcentral.